GGAUGAAGAGACUUUAACAGUCAGCAAAAUUUCCCUUCUCUCUGGGGAUUGAGGAUUCUGUAACACUCUUUUACUCCUUUUUUCCCCGCUCAGGGUGCCCCUUCUGCUUCUGACAGUCUUUGCAAUAAGGAACAAAAAAGCAGCAGCGACUGGUCUCCACAGCACCAUUUAUAACUCUUGUACAACCUGCAUUGUCUGACAUCUGAACAAAAAUAAGAUCUACAGCUUCAGAAUGUGGAGAAGGGUGCAGUUUCCCUGGCAUGAAAUAUCUGAUCAAUUUUCACGGAGACAAGAGAAACAAAGGUUUUUUACAGAUGCAAUAACCAUAUCUCUGCAAUAGUAUUUUUAAUAACCAAAGGCAGAAGAGUUGUGACUUUGCAUGUAAUGGCAACGUUUGCGAAAGUAAGCCGGUACGGCAUACCGGCGCACCAUACUGAGGUGGAUUGGCUUCCCCGGCAGCAAUUUAAAGGGCCUGGGGCUCCCAGCUGCUGCUACCACAGCCCCACCUCUUCCAGUAGAGGCCACGCCUCUUCCGGUUGUGUCCCCGCCCCUUCCUAAGGACGCUGGAGUAGUGGUAAUUCUCACAUUACAGGGCAAGCUGAUGUUUCUGCUGUAUGGCAUUUGGGACAUUUAAACAUAGCUAUUCUGGCGUAUAAUUUAGGACAAAUCAAUCCGUGUUCCACACGCAGUUGUUAUGGGGCUUAUUUUGUUACAGGUGGAUGCUUUAUACAUAUUGGAUGUGACCUGGUUCUAUUCUUCAGCAGUAAUUUCA
Molecule: long non-coding RNA, 772 nt
Organism: Mauremys mutica (yellowpond turtle)
Lineage: Eukaryota; Metazoa; Chordata; Testudines; Geoemydidae
Exons: 4
Source: RefSeq, a predicted model, not a curated record